CGGCAGCAUGAUCUAGCUUGCUAGAUUGAUGGCGAGUGGCGAACGGGUGAGUAAUACAUCGGAACGUGCCCUGUAGUGGGGGAUAACUAGUCGAAAGAUUAGCUAAUACCGCAUACGACCUGAGGGUGAAAGUGGGGGACCGCAAGGCCUCAUGCUAUAGGAGCGGCCGAUGUCUGAUUAGCUAGUUGGUGAGGUAAAGGCUCACCAAGGCGACGAUCAGUAGCUGGUCUGAGAGGACGAUCAGCCACACUGGGACUGAGACACGGCCCAGACUCCUACGGGAGGCAGCAGUGGGGAAUUUUGGACAAUGGGCGAAAGCCUGAUCCAGCAAUGCCGCGUGUGUGAAGAAGGCCUUCGGGUUGUAAAGCACUUUUGUCCGGAAAGAAAUGGCUCUGGUUAAUACCUGGGGUCGAUGACGGUACCGGAAGAAUAAGGACCGGCUAACUACGUGCCAGCAGCCGCGGUAAUACGUAGGGUCCAAGCGUUAAUCGGAAUUACUGGGCGUAAAGCGUGCGCAGGCGGUUGUGCAAGACCGAUGUGAAAUCCCCGAGCUUAACUUGGGAAUUGCAUUGGUGACUGCACGGCUAGAGUGUGUCAGAGGGGGGUAGAAUUCCACGUGUAGCAGUGAAAUGCGUAGAGAUGUGGAGGAAUACCGAUGGCGAAGGCAGCCCCCUGGGAUAACACUGACGCUCAUGCACGAAAGCGUGGGGAGCAAACAGGAUUAGAUACCCUGGUAGUCCACGCCCUAAACGAUGUCAACUAGUUGUUGGGGAUUCAUUUCCUUAGUAACGUAGCUAACGCGUGAAGUUGACCGCCUGGGGAGUACGGUCGCAAGAUUAAAACUCAAAGGAAUUGACGGGGACCCGCACAAGCGGUGGAUGAUGUGGAUUAAUUCGAUGCAACGCGAAAAACCUUACCUACCCUUGACAUGCCACUAACGAAGCAGAGAUGCAUUAGGUGCUCGAAAGAGAAAGUGGACACAGGUGCUGCAUGGCUGUCGUCAGCUCGUGU
This 1011-nucleotide ribosomal RNA is filed under the name Ralstonia sp. RNAcentral describes it as "bacterial SSU rRNA". It matches the Rfam family "Bacterial small subunit ribosomal RNA", at positions 67 to 1065 of the family's 1533-position model. Lineage: Bacteria; Pseudomonadati; Pseudomonadota; Betaproteobacteria; Burkholderiales; Burkholderiaceae. The record is from RNAcentral.